CCUACGGGAGGCAGCAGUGAGGAAUAUUGGUCAAUGGGCGCAAGCCUGAACCAGCCAAGUCGCGUGAGGGAUGACGGUCCUAUGGAUUGUAAACCUCUUUUGUCGGGGAGCAAGGCCCGCCACGUGUGGCGGGAAGGAGAGUACCCGAAGAAAAAGCAUCGGGUAACCCCGUGCCAGCAGCCGCGGUAAUACGGAGGAUGCGAGGGUUACCCGGGUUUUUUGGGUUUAAAGGGUGCGUAGGCGGAAGGUUAAGUCAGUGGUCAAAUGUGGGUGCCCAACACCGGCCUGCCGUUGAAACUGGUCUGCUUGAGUGAACGAGAGGUAUGCGGAAUGCGUGGUGUAGCGGUGAAAUGCAUAGAUAUCACGCAGAACUCCGAUUGCGAAGGCAGCAUACCGGCGCUCAACUGACGCUGAGGCACGAAAGCGUGGGGAUCGAACAGGAUUAGAUACCCCUGUAGUC
RNAcentral lists this ribosomal RNA (460 nucleotides) under uncultured bacterium. RNAcentral's name for it is "partial 16S ribosomal RNA". It matches the Rfam family "Bacterial small subunit ribosomal RNA", at positions 338 to 795 of the family's 1533-position model. The record is from RNAcentral.